This 81-nucleotide small RNA is filed under the name Flavobacterium commune. RNAcentral describes it as "Flavo-1 RNA". It matches the Rfam family "Flavo-1 RNA". The record is from Rfam by way of RNAcentral. Lineage: Bacteria; Pseudomonadati; Bacteroidota; Flavobacteriia; Flavobacteriales; Flavobacteriaceae.
AAAUAGCCCUGAUGGAAGCGGCAUCCUCUUGUCUCGUCCCAAAAGACGAGACAAGAGAUAGAGCGGACAGCAGGAGGGAAG